RNAcentral lists this ribosomal RNA (229 nucleotides) under uncultured bacterium. RNAcentral describes it as "partial 16S ribosomal RNA". It matches the Rfam family "Bacterial small subunit ribosomal RNA", at positions 568 to 796 of the family's 1533-position model. The record is from RNAcentral.
CGUGUAGGCGGCUUGGUAAGUCGGAUGUGAAAGUCCCGGGCUCAACCCGGGAAGUGCAUUCGAAACUACUAGGCUUGAGUAGGAGAGAGGAAAGUGGAAUUCCUGGUGUAGAGGUGAAAUUCGUAGAUAUCAGGAGGAACACCGGUGGCGAAGGCGACUUUCUGGCUCUAUACUGACGCUGAGACGCGAAAGCGUGGGUAGCAAACAGGAUUAGAUACCCUGGUAGUCC